CUGAGGCGUGACGACGAGGCACUACGGUGCUGAAGCAACAAAUGCCCUGCUUCCAGGAAAAGCCUCUAAGCAUCAGGUAACAUCAAAUCGUACCCCAAACCGACACAGGUGGUCAGGUAGAGAAUACCAAGGCGCUUGAGAGAACUCGGGUGAAGGAACUAGGCAAAAUGGUGCCGUAACUUCGGGAGAAGGCACGCUGACACGUAGGUGAAGUGAUUUACUCAUGGAGCUGAAGUCAGUCGAAGAUACCAGCUGGCUGCAACUGUUUAUUAAAAACACAGCACUGUGCAAACACGAAAGUGGACGUAUACGGUGUGACGCCUGCCCGGUGCCGGAAGGUUAAUUGAUGGGGUCAGCGCAAGCGAAGCUCCUGAUCGAAGCCCCGGUAAACGGCGGCCGUAACUAUAACGGUCCUAAGGUAGCGAAAUUCCUUGUCGGGUAAGUUCCGACCUGCACGAAUGGCGUAAUGAUGGCCAGGCUGUCUCCACCCGAGACUCAGUGAAAUUGAACUCGCUGUGAAGAUGCAGUGUACCCGCGGCAAGACGGAAAGACCCCGUGAACCUUUACUAUAGCUUGACACUGAACAUUGAGCCUUGAUGUGUAGGAUAGGUGGGAGGCUUUGAAGUGUGGACGCCAGUCUGCAUGGAGCCGACCUUGAAAUACCACCCUUUAAUGUUUGAUGUUCUAACGUGGACCCGUGAUCCGGGUUGCGGACAGUGUCUGGUGGGUAGUUUGACUGGGGCGGUCUCCUCCUAAAGAGUAACGGAGGAGCACGAAGGUUGGCUAAUCCUGGUCGGACAUCAGGAGGUUAGUGCAAUGGCAUAAGCCAGCUUGACUGCGAGCGUGACGGCGCGAGCAGGUGCGAAAGCAGGUCAUAGUGAUCCGGUGGUUCUGAAUGGAAGGGCCAUCGCUCAACGGAUAAAAGGUACUCCGGGGAUAACAGGCUGAUACCGCCCAAGAGUUCAUAUCGACGGCGGUGUUUGGCACCUCGAUGUCGGCUCAUCACAUCCUGGGGCUGAAGUAGGUCCCAAGGGUAUGGCUGUUCGCCAUUUAAAGUGGUACGCGAGCUGGGUUUAGAACGUCGUGAGACAGUUCGGUCCCUAUCUGCCGUGGGCGCUGGAGAACUGAGGGGGGCUGCUCCUAGUACGAGAGGACCGGAGUGGACGCAUCACUGGUGUUCGGGUUGUCAUGCCAAUGGCACUGCCCGGUAGCUAAAUGCGGAAGAGAUAAGUGCUGAAAGCAUCUAAGCACGAAACUUGCCCCGAGAUGAGUUCUCCCUGAGACUUUAGGUCUCCUGAAGGAACGUUGAAGACGACGACGUUGAUAGGCCGGGUGUGUAAGCGCAGCGAUGCGUUGAGCUAACCGGUACUAAUGAACCGUGAGGCUUAACCUUAC
RNAcentral lists this ribosomal RNA (1395 nucleotides) under Salmonella enterica subsp. enterica serovar Montevideo str. 413180. RNAcentral's name for it is "bacterial LSU rRNA". It matches the Rfam family "Bacterial large subunit ribosomal RNA", at positions 1556 to 2925 of the family's 2925-position model. Lineage: Bacteria; Pseudomonadati; Pseudomonadota; Gammaproteobacteria; Enterobacterales; Enterobacteriaceae. RNAcentral also lists the same sequence under 2 other names. The record is from RNAcentral.